Molecule: ribosomal RNA, 421 nt
Filed under: uncultured bacterium
Lineage: Bacteria
Description: bacterial SSU rRNA
Rfam family: Bacterial small subunit ribosomal RNA
Source: RNAcentral
UGAGGAAUAUUGGACAAUGGGCGCAAGCCUGAUCCAGCCAUGCCGCGUGCAGGAAGAAGCAUCUAUGGUGUGUAAACUGCUUUUGUACGGGAAGAAACACUCCUACGUGUAGGAGCUUGACGGUACCGUAAGAAUAAGGAUCGGCUAACUCCGUGCCAGCAGCCGCGGUAAUACGGAGGAUCCAAGCGUUAUCCGGAAUCAUUGGGUUUAAAGGGUCCGUAGGCGGUUUAAUAAGUCAAUGGUGAAAGCCCAUCGCUCAACGAUGGAACGGCCAUUGAUACUGUUAGACUUGAAUUACAAGGAAGUAACGUGAAUAUGUAGUGUAGCGGUGAAAUGCGUAGAGAUUACAGGGAAUACCAAUUGCGAAGGCAGGUAACUACUUGUGAUUGACGCUGAUGGACGAAAGCGUGGGGAGCGAACA